GGGGAGGAGAAUUAUUGAUUCAAAGGACCUUAGAGCUCAAAAGGUCCUGAGAGACCAUCAUAACCACCCUCUUUAUUUUACAGAUACAGCUUCUGAGGAUCACGGGGAUGAAAGGCAUGAACUGGGCUCACACAGCUACUCCUUCCCAUUUAUGAGAGAGCCACAUGACAUCAGCCCAUAGACUGUGGAGAGUAUUCCAGAUCUAUCACAUUCUGCGAUUCUGCGAUUCCCAGAAGGCUGGUCAUGAAAAAAUUCCCUCUUCAGUUUACAUAUAUGGCAGUGGCACUUCUAGAUAUCUGUUGAGGCCUGGAAGGGGCAAAACAAUUCAGGAAGCAGUUGAAGAUAAAGGGGUUUACCAUGGAAGAGAAGAUCCAGGUGCCUUCAUGGAAAUGCUUGUGGUUGAAAAGAGAUGAAGAUGAGGGUCCCUGGAAAGAGGAAGAACCAGCCAGGAAAAUUAUACCAUUAGCAAGACUGGCAUCAGCAAGUAGUUCGCAGUGUUGGUUGUUCUUGGUUUCGCAGGAUUUUAUAGGAGAUGAGAAAACAAGGCAACAAGGUUAAGUGGCUUCCUGAAUUUUUCCUAUCGGGUCUGAGGCCUGCAGGAUGGGAGUCUGGCCCCCAGCAUGGCCUGCCUGGCAUGGCUCCCUCAGUUCUGCUCCCAGCUUCACAUGCUCCACUAAUUGGGGAUGGGUACCCCUGGUGUUCUUGAAAAUUAAUGAUAUUCAAAGCUACAAGAUGUAUCUGUUGUAGUCUAUGUUUGUUUACUUGUGGCAAUUAGUGACCAUCUGCUCUGGAGGUGAUGGUAUUAGGCCCUCUUUUGGAAAUAGUAACUUCUAGGAAGGAGACGCCCAGGCUAUUAGGGAAGGAGGGCUGACAAAUGAAUGGGGUCUCGGGUUCUCCAGAGGGUGGAGAGACUGCAUGUCAGACAUGUAAGGAAAAAAGCAAACUGAGUCAUUUAUUCUCUUCUCUUGUUGCCUCUCCUUUUUCUCUAUCUUCUGUCAUCAAAUCAUGGUUACUUGCCCAGAGUUUCUGUCAGGCCUUUGAGCCCAAGCUAAGCCAUCAUACCCCUGUGACCUACACGUUAUACAUCCAGAUGGCCUGAAGCAAUUGAAGAUCCACAAAAUAAGUGAAAAUAGCCUUAACGGAUGACAUUCCACCAUUGUGAUUUGUUUCCACCCCACCCUAACUGAUACAUAUAUUCUCCCCCACCCUUAAGAAGGUACUUCGGAAUGUUCUCUCCCGCUCUUAAGAAUGUGCUUUGUAUGCCUAUCCCAAACCUGUAAGAACUAAUGAUAAUCCCACCACCCUUUGCUGACUCUUUUUUUUGGACUCAGCCCAUCUGCACUCAGGUGAAAUAAACAGCCUUGUUACUCACACAAAGCCUGUUUGGUGGUCUCUUCACAUGGAUGUGCGUGACAUUUGGUGCCGUGACUAGGAUUGGGGGCCCUCCCUUGGGAGAUCAAUCCCCUGUCCUCCUGCUCUUUGCUCCAUGAGAAAGAUCCACCUACGACUUUGGGUCCUUAGACCAACCAGCCCAAGGAACAUCUCACCAAUUUUAAAUCGGGUAAGCAGCCUCUUUU
This 1577-nucleotide long non-coding RNA is filed under the name Homo sapiens (human). RNAcentral's name for it is "HSALNT0250468". Lineage: Eukaryota; Metazoa; Chordata; Mammalia; Primates; Hominidae. The record is from RNAcentral.